AGAGUUUGAUCAUGGCUCAGAUUGAACGCUGGCGGCAGGCCUAACACAUGCAAGUCGAGCGGUAGCACAGGAGAGCUUGCUCUCUGGGUGACGAGCGGCGGACGGGUGAGUAAUGUCUGGGAAACUGCCUGAUGGAGGGGGAUAACUACUGGAAACGGUAGCUAAUACCGCAUAACGUCUUCGGACCAAAGUGGGGGACCUUCGGGCCUCACGCCAUCAGAUGUGCCCAGAUGGGAUUAGCUAGUAGGUGGGGUAAUGGCUCACCUAGGCGACGAUCCCUAGCUGGUCUGAGAGGAUGACCAGCCACACUGGAACUGAGACACGGUCCAGACUCCUACGGGAGGCAGCAGUGGGGAAUAUUGCACAAUGGGCGCAAGCCUGAUGCAGCCAUGCCGCGUGUGUGAAGAAGGCCUUCGGGUUGUAAAGCACUUUCAGCGAGGAGGAAGGGCAGUGUGUUAAUAGCACAUUGCAUUGACGUUACUCGCAGAAGAAGCACCGGCUAACUCCGUGCCAGCAGCCGCGGUAAUACGGAGGGUGCAAGCGUUAAUCGGAAUUACUGGGCGUAAAGCGCACGCAGGCGGUUUGUUAAGUCAGAUGUGAAAUCCCCGCGCUUAACGUGGGAACUGCAUUUGAAACUGGCAAGCUAGAGUCUUGUAGAGGGGGGUAGAAUUCCAGGUGUAGCGGUGAAAUGCGUAGAGAUCUGGAGGAAUACCGGUGGCGAAGGCGGCCCCCUGGACAAAGACUGACGCUCAGGUGCGAAAGCGUGGGGAGCAAACAGGAUUAGAUACCCCGGUAGUCCAA
This 801-nucleotide ribosomal RNA is filed under the name uncultured bacterium. Its description in RNAcentral is "bacterial SSU rRNA". It matches the Rfam family "Bacterial small subunit ribosomal RNA", at positions 8 to 798 of the family's 1533-position model. The record is from RNAcentral.